This 471-nucleotide ribosomal RNA is filed under the name uncultured bacterium. Its description in RNAcentral is "bacterial SSU rRNA". It matches the Rfam family "Bacterial small subunit ribosomal RNA", at positions 113 to 616 of the family's 1533-position model. The record is from RNAcentral.
ACACGUGGGUAAUCUACCUCUUAGUGGGGAAUAACCCUGGGAAACCGGGGCUAAUACCGCAUAAGCCCGAGAGGGGAAACGCGAAAGCGGCUGAGAGAGGAGCCCGCGGCCGAUUAGCUAGUUGGCAGGGUAAAAGCCUACCAAGGCAAAGAUCGGUAGCCGGCCUGAGAGGGCACACGGCCACACUGGCACUGAAACACGGGCCAGACUCCUACGGGAGGCAGCAGUGGGGAAUCUUGCACAAUGGGGGAAACCCUGAUGCAGCGACGCCGCGUGAGCGAUGAAGCCCUUCGGGGUGUAAAGCUCUUUCGGCAGGGAAGAUGAUGACGGUACCUGCAGAAGCAGCUGCGGCUAACUACGUGCCAGCAGCCGCGGUAAUACGUAGGCAGCAAGCGUGGUUCGGAGUUACUGGGCGUAAAGGGUGUGUAGGCGGUUUGGUAAGUCUGGUGUGAAAUCUCCCGGCUCAACUGG